RNAcentral lists this ribosomal RNA (1712 nucleotides) under Anaerolineae bacterium. RNAcentral's name for it is "bacterial SSU rRNA". It matches the Rfam family "Bacterial small subunit ribosomal RNA". Lineage: Bacteria; Bacillati; Chloroflexota; Anaerolineae. The record is from RNAcentral.
AUGGCGAGCACGAUCUUGGCUCAGGAUGAACGCUAGCGGCGUGCCUAAUACAUGCUAGUCGAACGCACCGGCCCCAAACCAGGCCCGAAGGGCACAGCAGGCGGGAGAAAUCCCGUCGACUGUGCUCGACGGGUGAGGCAGAAAGCCGGUCAGUGGCAAACGGGUGAGUAACACGUGGGUGACCUGCCCUGAAGUGGGGGAUAGCCGCCCGAAAGGGCGGAUAAUCCCUCAUGUGAUCCGCCGUCUUGGCGGCGGAUGAAAGGCUGUGUGGAAAUGCCUGUAGGGGCGGUUUACGAGCCGCCCCUGCGAUGCAAUGCCUGUAGGGGCGGUUUACGAGCCGCCCCUGCGACGGAAUGCCUGUAGGGGCGGUUCGCGAACCGCCCCUACGGAGGCGCUACAGCCGCUUCAGGAGGGGCCCGCGGCCUAUCAGCUCGUUGGUGGGGUAAAGGCCCACCAAGGCGAUGACGGGUAGCUGGUCUGAGAGGACGGCCAGCCACACUGGCACUGAGACAAGGGCCAGGCUCCUACGGGAGGCAGCAGUAGGGAAUCUUGCACAAUGCGGGAAACCGUGAUGCAGCGACGCCGCGUGAGGGACGGAGGCCUUCGGGUCGUAAACCUCUUUUCUGGGGGAGGAGAGAGGACAGUACCCCAGGAAUAAGCCUCGGGUAACUACGUGCCAGCAGCCGCGGUAAAACGUAGGAGGCGAGCGUUAUCCGCAUUUACUGGGCGUAAAGCGCGUGCAGGCGGCCGCACAAGUUGGGCGUGAAAUCUCCCGGCUCAACUGGGAGGGGUCGCCCAAUACUGUGUGGCUCGAGGGCAGGAGGGGGAAGUGGAACUCCCGGUGUAGCGGUGGAAUGCGCUGAUAUCGGGAAGAACCUCAGUGGCGAAGGCGGCUUCCUGGCCUGCUCCUGACGCUCAGACGCGAAAGCCGGGGGAGAGAUCAGGAUCAGAUACCCUGGUAUUCCCGGCUGUAAACGAUGGAUACUCGGCCUCGGGGGCCGACCCUCGGGGCCUAAGCUAACGCGUAAGUAUCCCGCCUGAGGAAUACGGCCGCAAGGCUGAAACUCAAGAGAAUUGGCGGGGGCCCGCACAAGCAGCGGAGCGUGCGGUUCAAUCCGAUGUGAAACGUAGAACCUUACCGGGGCUUGACAUGCGCGUGGUAGCGAGGCGAAAGCCAAGUGACCCCCGCGCGAACGCGGGGGAGCGCGCACAGGUGCUGCAUGGCUGUCGUCAGCUCGUGCCGUGAGGCGUUGGGCUCACCCCCACAACGGGCGCAACCCUCGUCGCCAGUUAGAUCUCUCUGGCGAGACCGCCGCGUAAGCCGGAGGAAGGAGGGGAUGACGUCAAGUCGGCAUGGCCCUGAUGCCCCGGGCCACACGCACGCUACAAUGGCCGGUACAACGGGUUGCCAAGCCGCGAGGCGGAGCCAAUCCCUUGAAAGCCGGCCCCAGUUCGGAUUGCAGGCUGCAACCCGCCUGCAUGAAGCCGGAGCUGCUAGUAACCGCCGGUCAGCAACUACGGCGGUGAAUACGUUCCCGGGCCCUGUACAGACCGCCCGUCACGUCCGGGGAGCCAACGCCACCUGAAGGCGGUGGCGCCAACCCCGCCAACCCAAUGGCAGGGAGGCAGCCGCCCAGGGUGGUGGCGGCAACCUGGAUGAAGCCGCAACAAGGUAGCCGUACCGGAAGGUGUGGCUGGACCACCUGUUUUUC